Molecule: transfer RNA, 77 nt
Filed under: Desulfamplus sp.
Lineage: Bacteria; Pseudomonadati; Thermodesulfobacteriota; Desulfobacteria; Desulfobacterales; Desulfobacteraceae
Description: tRNA-Pro
Rfam family: tRNA
About the family: Transfer RNA (tRNA) molecules are approximately 80 nucleotides in length. Their secondary structure includes four short double-helical elements and three loops (D, anti-codon, and T loops). Further hydrogen bonds mediate the characteristic L-shaped molecular structure. tRNAs have two regions of fundamental functional importance: the anti-codon, which is responsible for specific mRNA codon recognition, and the 3' end, to which the tRNAs corresponding amino acid is attached (by aminoacyl-tRNA synthetases). tRNAs cope with the degeneracy of the genetic code in two manners: having more than one tRNA (with a specific anti-codon) for a particular amino acid; and 'wobble' base-pairing, i.e. permitting non-standard base-pairing at the 3rd anti-codon position.
Source: RNAcentral
CGGGAUGUGGCUCAGUCUGGUAGAGCACAGCGUUCGGGACGCUGGUGUCGCUGGUUCGAAUCCAGUCAUCCCGACCA